GGAUGUGGGGUUGCUUAGACAACCAGGAUGUUGGCUUAGAAGCAGCCACCAUUGAAAGAGUGCGUAAUAGCUCACUGGUCGAGUGACCCCGCGCCGAAAAUGUACCGGGGCUAAACAUAUUACCGAAACUGUGGAUGAACCUCAUUAGAGGUUCGUGGUAGGAGAGCGUUCUAAGGGCGGUGAAGUCAGACCGGAAGGACUGGUGGAGCGCUUAGAAGUGAGAAUGCCGGUAUGAGUAGCGAAAGAAGGGUGAGAAUCCCUUCCACCGAAUAUCUAAGGUUUCCUGAGGAAGGCUCGUCCGCUCAGGGUUAGUCGGGACCUAAGCCGAGGCCGAUAGGCGUAGGCGAUGGACAACAGGUAGAGAUUCCUGUACCAGUGCUAAUUGUUUAACCGAUGGGGUGACACAGAAGGAUAGGGAAUCGCACGAAUGGAAAUGUGCGUCCAAGCAGUGAGUGUGAGAAGUAGGCAAAUCCGCUUCUCGCGAAGCAUGAGCUGUGAUGGGGAAGGAAAUUAAGUACGGAAGUUCCUGAUUUCACGCUGUCAAGAAAAGCCUCUAGGAAGAGUAGUACUGCCCGUACCGCAAACCGACACAGGUAGAUGAGGAGAGAAUCCUAAGGUGAGCGAGAGAACUCUCGUUAAGGAACUCGGCAAAAUGACCCCGUAACUUCGGGAGAAGGGGUGCUCUAUUAGGGUGCAAGCCCGAGAGAGCCGCAGUGAAUAGGCCCAGGCGACUGUUUAGCAAAAACACAGGUCUCUGCAAAACCGUAAGGUGACGUAUAGGGGCUGACGCCUGCCCGGUGCUGGAAGGUUAAGAGGAGUGCUUAGCUUCGGCGAAGGUACGAAUUGAAGCCCCAGUAAACGGCGGCCGUAACUAUAACGGUCCUAAGGUAGCGAAAUUCCUUGUCGGGUAAGUUCCGACCCGCACGAAAGGCGCAACGAUCUGGGCACUGUCUCAACGAGAGACUCGGUGAAAUUAUAGUACCUGUGAAGAUGCAGGUUACCCGCGACAGGACGGAAAGACCCCGUGGAGCUUUACUGCAACCUGAUAUGGAAUGUUUGUACCGCUUGUACAGGAUAGGUAGGAGCCGAAGAGACGUGUGCGCUAGCAUACGAGGAGGCAAUGGUGGGAUACUACCCUGGCUGUAUGACCAUUCUAACCCGCCACGCUUAGCGCGUGGGGAGACAGUGUCAGGUGGGCAGUUUGACUGGGGCGGUCGCCUCCUAAAGAGUAACGGAGGCGCCCAAAGGUUCCCUCAGAAUGGAUGGAAAUCAUUCGCAGAGUGUAAAGGCACAAGGGAGCUUGACUGCGAGACUGACAAGUCGAGCAGGGACGAAAGUCGGGCUUAGUGAUCCGGUGGUUCCGCAUGGAAGGGCCAUCGCUCAACGGAUAAAAGCUACCCCGGGGAUAACAGGCUUAUCUCCCCCAAGAGUCCACAUCGACGGGGAGGUUUGGCACCUCGAUGUCGGCUCGUCGCAUCCUGGGGCUGUAGUCGGUCCCAAGGGUUGGGCUGUUCGCCCAUUAAAGCGGCACGCGAGCUGGGUUCAGAACGUCGUGAGACAGUUCGGUCCCUAUCCGUCGCGGGCGCAGGAAAUUUGAGAGGAGCUGUCCUUAGUACGAGAGGACCGGGAUGGACACACCGCUGGUGUACCAGUUGUUCCGCCAGGAGCAUCGCUGGGUAGCUAUGUGUGGCAGGGAUAAACGCUGAAAGCAUCUAAGCGUGAAGCCCCCCUCAAGAUGAGAUUUCCCAUUUCUUCGGAAAGUAAGAUCCCUGAAAGAUGAUCAGGUAGAUAGGUUUGGAGUGGAAGUGUAGCGAUACAUGGAGCGGACAAAUACUAAUC
Molecule: ribosomal RNA, 1839 nt
Filed under: Listeria monocytogenes
Lineage: Bacteria; Bacillati; Bacillota; Bacilli; Caryophanales; Listeriaceae
Description: partial 23S ribosomal RNA
Rfam family: Bacterial large subunit ribosomal RNA
Source: RNAcentral